Molecule: non-coding RNA, 2402 nt
Organism: Peromyscus maniculatus bairdii (prairie deer mouse)
Lineage: Eukaryota; Metazoa; Chordata; Mammalia; Rodentia; Cricetidae
Source: RefSeq, a predicted model, not a curated record
CCCUAAUUAAAGGCUCUUUUUAAGAGUUGCCUUGAUCAUGGUGUCUGUUCACAGCAACAGAACAGUGACGAAGACAGCUGCUAUGACAAGUUCCCAGCAAAGAUGGCCUCAAGGAAAAGCUUAUCCAGGCUUACCGUUUGCAUGCAUUGUCCAUCAUGGUGGGGCAGUCAUAAUGACAGACAUGUGAAGCAGCCGGUCACGUGGUUUCUAUAGUCAGAAAGGAGAGAGAGAUGAAUACUGGUGCUUAGCUUGCAUUCUUGUUUUUACUUAGUCCUGGAACAGUGCUGCCCACAUCCAGAGUUAAGUUUUCCUCCCUUCUAAAUGUAUCAUAGACACAAGCAAAAGUGUUUCCCUGGUAACUCUAAAUUUAGUCAAAUUGACAGUGAGGAUUAGCCAUCAGAAUAAAGGACUAUAGAGUACAUAGUACUGAGAGAGCAAACAGCGACUGAGUGAGAGGAUCUACAAAGGCAAGGCUAUUCAGGGACUAAGUGGAUUGUGUAGGAAAUUAGGAAACCAUCAAAGGAAUUUUAGCUUGAUGGUGACUUAACAAGAUUGGUAAAUUGAAAAUUGUACUCUAGAUAUAAAUCCCAAGCAAAGAUUAGGAUGUAUCAAAGUAGAUAGGAUACUCCCAAAUUAGUUAGAGGUUUUUGCAGAUAAAAGAAACUGAAACUGGAGUAUUGGACCAGGAUAGUGUAAUAGAGGUAGAGUGAGUUGGAGGAACAGUAGAAACACUUCCUGGAGCUGGACUGAGCAUUAGGAGGAAGAAGUUACUUGUGUAUUUACAGCUGAAUGGUAGUGGCAUUCAUUCACUAGAGUGUUAAUGUAUUUGGAGUUGUCAGGGAGGUUGGAAGAUCAUUUGGUUUAGUACUUCCUGAAUUUCUGCUGUCUUUGAGUCAUCGAAGCAGCUUCUAAAUAGAAGCAUGGAUCUGGGGACAAGCUCCUUUGGGCAGAAAGGAUUUAUAUUAGCUCCAUUCCAGGUUACAGUCUAUUACUACUGGGAGGUCGCAGCAGCAGAAGCCUGAGAGAGCUGGUUACAUCACUUCCAAAACAGAAAACUGGAUAUGGGUGGCCUGGUGAUCUGAAAGAGAUGCCCUCUAUAAGUCUCAGGCAUUUGAAUACUUGGUCCUCGGUUGGUGGCUGUUGAGGAAGCAUUAGGAGGGAUCAGGAAGCUGAGACUCUUAAAGGAGAUGUGGAAGCUGAAGAAACCCGGGCAGUUUUACUAAAGUCUGUGCUUUCGUGAAGCACAUAUCAAACACAAUAUAACAGCUGCACCAGUUCCUGACCUCCAUCCUUUGAGAAGUUAGUCUGUUCUCAUCUUUGAAUUCUUUGUCAUAGCUCAUCCUUAUAAGAGAAUGUCACAUCUUGGGUUCAGCAAAGUGCAUUUCUACUGGUUGCAGCAGCAAAGCCCUGUGCUUAAGUGGCUGUGAGUGGAAAUGCAGAUACAAACCACAGAGAAAGUAAUGAGUCAAGUCAAGAGAAAGGAAGGGUUAUACAGAGUUCCCGUUACAAGGUGGGAAUUCAGGGUGUUACACAGUAGCGAUUUUUUUUACCCCAAGUGGCUUAGAGCUCAGAUUGUAUCGAAGCCAAGUACUUUUAGAACUUUCAAAUGUAUAAGUUACUACAUACUAAGUUUCAAAAUGCACCUAGGAGAUACAUUCUAAAAAGGUUUCCAGAUGGAAGUAGAAUGUAUUGACCAGGGUUCUCUAGAAAAACAGAACUGAUAGAAUAAAUACAUAUAUAUAAUUAGAGUAGCUCACAAGCUGUGGUCUGGCUAGUGCAACAGUGGCUAUCUCCUGACUCCUGACGGAAAGUCCAAGAAUCCAAUAGUUAAUCAUUCCAUGAGGCUGAAUGUCUCAGCUGUUCUUCAGUAUAUAUCAGAGUCCUGAAGAAGUAGGCUCUAAUACCAGAAAGGAAGGAACUUGCCAGGGACAGUGAGGGCAAGCAGGCAAAAAGCAAAAGAUUCCUUCCUCCCUGUCCUGUAUAUAGGCUGCAACAGAAGGUGUGGCCCAGAUUUAGGGUAGUUCUUCCCACCUCAAAUGAUUUUUAAAAAAAGUCCCUCGUAGAUGUGCCCAAUUGCUUGGGCUUUAGUUGAUUCCAGAUGUAGUCAAGUUGACAACCAAGAAUAGCCAUCAUGUUGCACGAAUCCUAAAUGGUCUUUUAAUAAAAACCUGGAGCCAGAUAUUAGGGUAAAUGCUGAAAGAUCAGAGAGACAAAGGAACAAGCCACAGCCACUUCUCACCUCACCAACUCUACAAAUCCUCUAACUGAAUGCCUGAGUCCUCAGCCUAAAGGAUCUCCAGUUCCUGUCUCCUCAUGCUUUAUAUGCCUUUCUCCACCCGGCCAUUUCAUUUCCUGUCUCAACCUUCUUAGUGCUGUGAUUAAUGGCGUGUAUGCUUCCCAAA